ACGGGUGAGUAACGCGUAUCCCAACCCUUCCCCCCAGGUAGGGCAUAGGCCCGGCGAAAGUCGGAUUUAAUACCCCUAUGUUUUUUCCGAAUGAGGACAUCUGAGCUGGAACAAAGAUUUUAUCGCUGGGGGGAUGGGGAUGCGUCCGAUUAGGUUGUUGGCAGGGUAACGGCCCACCAAGCCCGCGAUCGGUAGGGGUUCUGAGAGGAAGGUCCCCCACACUGGUACUGAGACACGGACCAGACUCCUACGGGAGGCAGCAGUGAGGAAUAUUGGUCAAUGGGCGUAAGCCUGAACCAGCCAAGUAGCCGUGCAGGACGACGGCCCUAUGGGUUGUAAACUGCUUUUAUGCGGGGAUAAAGUGAGGUAUGUAUACCUUUUUGUAGGUACCGCAUGAAUAAGGACCGGCUAAUUCCGUGCCAGCCGCCGC
RNAcentral lists this ribosomal RNA (430 nucleotides) under uncultured bacterium. Its description in RNAcentral is "bacterial SSU rRNA". It matches the Rfam family "Bacterial small subunit ribosomal RNA", at positions 102 to 518 of the family's 1533-position model. The record is from RNAcentral.